Molecule: long non-coding RNA, 881 nt
Filed under: Helianthus annuus (common sunflower)
Lineage: Eukaryota; Viridiplantae; Streptophyta; Magnoliopsida; Asterales; Asteraceae
Source: RNAcentral
CCUUCAUCUCCAUUUUCCUUCAUCUUUAAUCUCCUCAUUCUUCUCCUUCACGUUGCUUACAGAACGUCUUCCUGAUGUUCAUCUUCUCCUUCUAAUUCAACUCCUGUAAUCCAUCUGGUGGUUCACUCUAUCAACAAACCCUAAUGAAUCCACCCAUAAAUAAUAUGCCAAUCAAUCCGUUCUUUAAUUUCUUCACUCCUUUUUCAAACCCUAAAAACUCUGGUGGCACAUACCUGCACCAUGAUUCUUUCUAACCCUAACGAAGGCAAGAAACAGAUCCAACAAUGGAGAAGUACACUAUACGAUAGCAUUUCCGUGGCACUUCAACCGCCUCUUCCUCUCACUGUCAUGGUCGUCAUCUCUCCUAUAGACACCAUUGAAUCGAGGAUUUGUUACGGCGGAGGUAGCGUGUUGUGGGCAUGAACAAUACAAUGAAAUUGGAGUAUCCAAAUCGGUUUGAAUUUGUGUCCAAGCAGAGAUAUAUACGCGUUCUGGGAUCCUUUUUACAUUGUUGUCGAAUUAGAUAUCUCAUCAUUGAAGAAAAGUUCAAGUGAACCUAUAUUCAAGCGACCGCGCGCGUCUCCAAACACCAUCGCCAUUACCGAAAUUUAAGAAGGGACUCGAUUUACUAAGAGAAAUGUUUUGGCAAUUCGAAGGAUAUGCAUUUUAAAGGGAUUCGACUGUCUUUAAUUGUAUUUCCACUUUGUCACUAAUUCAUGCAACAUACCACUUUGUAUUUUUUUUAUUUGCAUACUUAAUAUUUACCUAAUUAAUUUUUCCCAGCCCGGGAAGCAAUCCCGGGUGAUAACCUAGUGUAUCAUAUAUAUAUACAUAUUAAUAAUAUAAAAUAAAUUAUAUCGGGUAUAUAAUAGGGUAAACGG